RNAcentral lists this long non-coding RNA (5145 nucleotides) under Manduca sexta (tobacco hornworm). RNAcentral describes it as "uncharacterized LOC119190034". Lineage: Eukaryota; Metazoa; Arthropoda; Insecta; Lepidoptera; Sphingidae. The record is from RNAcentral.
CGGAUCCUUUUUGCGUAUCUACGUCCAAUUGACAUAAGGCGAAUGGCCGAUCACUAGUCGGACGUAUGUUGCGCCAACCCUACAUUUAAACGGGAUGAGUAUAAGAAGAUAAAAGUAAUUAAAAAGCUGGUUUUUGAUUACUUGGACUGGGUUUCCAAAUUUAUUUCAAAGUAACAGUCGCUCUGACACUAUAAAUUUUAUUUUUUCGCGUCCUGAGUAACAGUUACACAUUUACUUGAGUAAAUGUAAAAGUUCUAAAUGUUAGGUAGUGAAUAUCGACAUUAAGGACAAAGAACUCCAGCACGAUCGUGUUCAAAUUUUAUUUGGGUAAGUCAAUUUGUUACCACGUGUAUGGAGGAAUAAACGGUCCUUCUUAGCAGAACUUCCUCCCUGUACUUGGAUAAGUCAAGUGUAAUCCGCCAGGAGUGUUGGCCGAUGCUCCGGCUGGGGUCGCACUAAAGACCGAACUGCCCAUCGGCCAUGCAUCCCCUCGCGGUGUGCAAUACCUGUGGAUUAGAGGUAAUUUCUUGUAAAGGUUUUUCCCUGCGGCUGAGGGGGUUAAGUCAUGCCUCAGGCGCAGUAGUCACUUCGAAACAUGACCAUAAGUCCCCUGGUCUUUUGAUUUCUUGUACAAUAUUUUUUUAAUAGGUAAUAGUGGUAUUGUAAAAGAGCAUGCAUACACUUUAAAAUUACAAAAUGCUGCUUAGACAUUUUCUGACUUGGUUAUUUUGUUUCAGGUUUACCUAAAGGCAAAUAUGCAAAUCAUGCGCUUCAAAAGCGUCGCGGAAGGAAACGCUGCGUAGGUUGCUACGACAAAUUACGGAUAUCGUUAGAUAGCGCGCAAGCUGGAAAAAGAACAAAAAAAGUUGUUACUUAUUGUGCCCAAUGUGAUAAAACCUUAUGUUCGCCUUGUUUUAAAGAAAAACAUUCGGAAUAAUUUUGUAAUAAUUAUUUAAUAUCGUUAUUGUAACUCUCAUCUAUUGUUAUUUUUUUUUGUACCGGAACAAAAUACCUGUAAGGCGGUAUCUGCGUUCUAACAAACAUGUAAAAGAAAUAAUAAUAAAAUAAAUUUAUUAUAUACCUAGUAGGAAAUUGAAAUAAAUAAAUGGUUAAUCGUGUGAUUAAAUCGUACGAUAUACGCUAAAGCUCAGUGAAGGAGGCUAAAAUAAAAUAACGUAAUUAGCUUAUACCCUGCAUAUGAGGAUAGUGGGCAACUCAUUAAAACAUUGCUUUAAAUUAUUUUAAUAUAACCCAUUAAGUAGUGUUUUAGUGUAGGAAGUUAGGAUAACAAUAAUAAUACAUAAUUUGCAUUAUUUGUUUAUAUAAACCAUAAAAUACUCUAUCCAUAUAUAAUCUAGCGAAUAUAUCUUGAUGUGAUGUUUAACCAAAUUCUUAAUUAAUAAAUAUCGUAAGUAGUUUGGUAAAUGUAAUAAGUAUAUCUUUAAUAACUAGCUAGUGUUCCAAUGUACUCUGGAUGAUAAUUGUAUUUUAGUGGCGUAGUAUAAUGUGAUCUCAUUCUAUGUUACCAUAGAAACCUUCGUCUAAUUGUGAUUAAAUGCAUUUGUGAGUGAUCUCUUGGGACCCUACGAUACAAGCUUGCUAAGUGGGGACCGUUGUCAAUACAUUUAUUCAUUUCGUGCAUUACCGUAAAAUUAAUUCUUUGUAUAUUCGUUUAUAGCAAAAUCCUUUGUGUAAAUAAAUGUUUAUCAUUGAAUUUUUUUUUCAUUUUCAAUCCAAAUAUUGAAACGAAAUAUAAUUAUUGGAACUAAACUCGCUAGUUCGAAAAUUGUUUUAUUUAAUUCACAUAUGAUCCAUAUUUUUUAGGCUCGGUACAUAAAAAUAUACAAACAAAAACACUAUCCAGCUGAUGAGCUGAGGAAAUAUAUUGAAUGAUGAUUCAAUAUAUUUCCUAUUAUUGUACAAAGUAUGAAUUGCUAACAUGGAAAUAUUUUCAGUGGCAUCCUUCAUCAAAUCACCGAAAGGUAGUGUCAUGUUGAUCUAUCACGGCAAACGCUUCUCCAAAAACUAUAGUAACGGCGAUAAGAUAUCGUGGAGGUGCACCAAACUGGGCUGCAACGCGCGCGUCACCACCUACAAGGACACCGUCCUGGCCACCAAGAAUGAUCAUUUGCAUCCCCUGACCCUGGGGAAUUGAAUCAACUACUAAUUUAUAAAUGGUCUCAAUAUUAAUAUAAUUAUUAUGUGUCUAGUCAGUGACUUGUGAUCGUAGAAUGUAUUAAUGUGAAGUGCAAUAAUAUUUAUCAUAAUAUACUGACUGGUAGAUUAGAAGAACGAUUCGGCGUUAAGUCCGCCCUUAUAUAUUUUGUCCAAAAUCUAGAUGUAACUGAGUGUAUCAAUAAAAGAACGUAGAAGAAAACGCAUCGAGCGCCACAUUUCGUACUAACACCCAAAGGAACCACGAUGUUGAUUUUCAGAGGAAAGAAGUUUUCGAGGAACUACAAGAACGGGGACAAGGUGUCGUGGAAGUGCAACAAGGCGGGUUGUAAUGCGCGAAUCACCACGUACAGGAAUACAGUACUGGCGACCAAGAACUUCCACCAUCAUGUAUUACCUGGACAAGAAACAUAGAUGAUUAAUUUGAACCUUAUAAGGCAGAAUUGGAACGUUUAUAUUUUUAUUUCGUUCCUCAUUGUAUUAAAUACUUAAAUAUUCCGGUGAAUUAUACUUACACCAAAGAUUAAAUCUAUGAAUGGUAACUACGUAUCCAAAAUUAUAGUAGUCUUAUAUAGACUGCUUUUAUAUAGCAUGUGUGUAUCGUGUUUAUCAGUAGUUUGUAAUAAUAUGUAGGCAUUCACAUAUAUUUCUAUAUUUCUGUAUCUAAUCUUAGGAUACUUGUAUAAUAUAUAUGCAAUAUGCAUAGUAUAUUUUGUGGUAUAUCUAUAUUAAUCUGUAGAAUUUGUAAAUUAUACUAUCUUAGCUUUAAUUAUUUAUUUGUGUGAUUAACUUUUUGUGAUUAUAAAUUCUUCCGUAAUAUAUGUGAUGUAGAAUUAAAAUUAUAAUAAAGCCAAAUUUCAAUUAGACCACCUUUCUAAAUAUCUUUCUAAAUACCUUUGUAGUUGUACAUUAUCGUGCUGAAAAGUGGCAUUUGCAAAUAUGUAUAUAUUUUUUAGUAGAAUGUUUAUUUUAUAUAUAAUAUUUUUAUUAUAUAAUAUAGUACAUAAUAAAAUGUUUAAAUAUAAUUCAGAGACUUAAAUAUUCUAUUUAUUUGGGUUAAAUAUAUUUUGUUUACGUAAAUGUAAAGCAAAACCUGCUAUCAUGUAUCACAGAUUAAACUUAAAACAACUGAUAUAUUAACACGGUUCGUUUUAUUUGUAUUUUAUUUCUUUUCGCAAAUGGUUCAUUAUUGUAUGUCAAAAAAUCGUGUAAUAACAAAAUGGAUUAAUUUCAGAGGAUCCGGAGAAACUAUGUCGAUACACGUUGUACUCGUUUUACGACCUAGAAAUAGCUUUACAUCACUGCUCCAACGACUAAUUAGAAAACGAUAUUGGAAUCAAAAUCACUGCCAUAUGAUUACCUCACACUAUUACAGUGAAAUAUGUUCCUAGCAAAUUGCUUGCCAUUGUACUAUAUAAUGAAACUAUAUUAGGGCUGUAUUAGUAGAUGCAAUUUGGCUCCUAAGCGCGAUUUCAGCUGAGACGAUGUUAAAUUAAAAGGAGCAUCUCAAGAUAGCCGGUUUUAAUUAACAGAUAUCAACACCAAUUCAAAUGAUAUGUUAAGUCACAACAUCAACGGAUUUUGACAGCUUAGUUUUGUUUAUUAAAGAGCGCCGACUCAGCUGAAAACACGCGCUCAAGUGAUAUCUCAAGUUUAGUUUAUUAGAUAGUUUAAAAUUUUAAUUGUUUACAUAAGAUUCUACUUAAAAAAAGAAUUAGUUUAUUAAUAUGGCCCUUAGUGGUGGAUAACAACUUACGCUUUUAGGGAAAGUUUGAUUGUAAUGAUAAUGUUGUGGGUUCAUUGAUUCGUGAUCGCUUCGAAAGACCUUAAUCCAAUUGGAUUGAAGUGAAAGUGAUCAUGGUUAAUGGUUGGACGAUUGAGUCCCUAAUAUUAUUUAAUAAACACUUUAUUUUAAAACAGUUAAUACGGUAUUAUGAGUGCUAGUCUACUAAUAAUUACUUUUAUAUUUAUAUAGACUUGCAAGUGCAAAGCGCUGUAAUUGUGAACAAUAAAUAUACAUUUAUACUGCAAUGACAUGCUUUUUUAUUUAGAUACGAUAUGAUAAACAAUUAAAAAUCUCAGGGGUUUUAUUUCUGUCUAGAUAUUAAAAUGUGCAAUUCCAAAGUGGAUAAUCUCGGUGAGGCAUAUGCACUAACGAAGAAAGCGACUGGUACUAAAACAAAAUUUUCUAUUGUCACAAAGCAUUCUAUUAUAUAUUUAAUUCUAUUCUAACAGUGCAAGAAAUCUUCUGCAAUCAAGCUGAUCAAAAGGCAUUCGAAAACAUUUGCUACUAUCAUCGUUGUUGUCAUUCGGUGAAAUCGUAGUCUGUUAUAACAAGAGUUCCAGUAGUGAGCCAGUAUGUCAGACCUGUUCGGGAUUUUAAGAGUUGUCAUAUACGACGAAGAAGGCCAUCACGCCCAGCAUAUUGGAUAAGAUCGUUGCGCUGAGGUCUCCACUCUCUGCCCUAAGAAAUUUUGAAAGCUAUUGUUGUGUAUGUAAUUACUGAUAUAUUUCCUAUACUGUCGUGGUUUUAAUCAAGCGUAUUAACCGUUUAUAAAUACAUGUAAACUAAUAAUGCACAUUUCUAAAGACCGUGAGAUAUUUAACAAUCUGAAAAAGAAACGCAGUCGUAAUUCACAGUGCAAAUUAACAUUCGUUUCCUCUGUAGUAGUAUUGACAGCGCUGUAACAUUCGCAGAUGAUAGCAACGGUGUGCUCAUACCGUCAGGGAGGACUGGCAGCAAGAAAUUCUUGCUAAUGCUAGACGGAUACACGUAUUCGCAAAUAAAUUACGGCAAGACAUGGGUUUGUUCGUCGGCGAAAGCCCAGAACUGCCCGGCGAAGGUGCGGCGCCUGGUCGACGGCCAGUUGGUGAGGGUGCAUGUGCAGCAUGAGCACCCACCCCCUCGGUAUUACAUUAGCAACGGGCUAUACUGUAAGCUAAGAAUAUGAAAUAUAUGUGUGGAACAGA